GUCUCAACCGGAGAAGUGUAUCGGAAACUGGAUAACUUGAGUGCUGAAAAGGGUAGUGGAACUCCGUGUGUAGCGGAGGAAUGCGUAGAUAUAUGGAAGAACACCAGUGGCGAAGGCUUCUACGUGGUCUGCGCUGAUUCUGAGACUCGAAAGCAUGGGUAGCGAACUUAAUUACAUACCCUGGUCGUCCCUGCCAUAAACGAUGAGUGCUAGGUGUUGGAGGGUUUCCUUCCUUGGUUGCCGGAGCUAACGCAUUAUCACUCCGGGGGGGAGUACGACCGUUAGGUUGAAACUGAAAUGAAUUGACGGCGGCCCGCACGAGGGGUGGAGCAUGUGGUUUAAUUCGAAGCUACACCAAUAACCUUACCUGGUCUUGACAUCUUGCUCCAACCCUAGAGAUAUGGCGUUUCCUUCUGGAACCCAAUGACAUGUGGUGCAUGUUCGCUCUUGUCUCGAGGUCUUGAGAUGUUGCGUUCAGUCCCGCCACCACCGCUACCCUUGUUACUAGUUGUCAGCAUGAACUCUGGGCACUCUAGUGAGACUGCAGGUGACAAACCGGGAGGAAGGUGGGGACGACCUCGCACCUUUUUGCCCCUGAUGACCUCGGGCUACACAGGUGCUACAAUGGAGGGGGCCAACU
Molecule: ribosomal RNA, 640 nt
Filed under: uncultured bacterium
Lineage: Bacteria
Description: bacterial SSU rRNA
Rfam family: Bacterial small subunit ribosomal RNA
Source: RNAcentral